AGUGAACGCUGGCGGUAGGCCUAACACAUGCAAGUCGAACGGCAGCACAGUAAGAGCUUGCUCUUACGGGUGGCGAGUGGCGGAUGGGUGAGGCAUACAUCGGAAUCUACUUUUUCGUGGGGGAUAACGUAGGGAAACUUACGCUAAUACCGCAUACGACCUUCGGGUGAAAGCAGGGGAUCUUCGGCCCUUGCGCGAUUGAAUGAGCCGAUUUCGGAUUAGCUAGUUGGCGGGGUAAAGGCCCACCAAGGCGACGCUCCAUAGCUGGUCAGAGAGGAUGAGCAGCCACACUGGAACGGAGACACGGUCCAGACUGCUAAGGGAGGCAGCAGUGGGGAAUAUUGGGCAAGGGGCGGAAGCCUGAUCUAGCCAUACCGCGUGGGUGAAGAAGGCCUUCGGGUUGUAAAGCCCUUUUGUUGGGAAAGAAAAGCAGCAGGUUAAUACCCCGCUGUUCUGACGGUACCCAAAGAAUAAGCACCGGCUAACUUCGUG
This 492-nucleotide ribosomal RNA is filed under the name uncultured bacterium. RNAcentral describes it as "partial 16S ribosomal RNA". It matches the Rfam family "Bacterial small subunit ribosomal RNA", at positions 29 to 507 of the family's 1533-position model. The record is from RNAcentral.